CAGCCACAUCACACUGAAACCCUAGUUCCCAUAUGAUCACUAAAGUUAAGCAACCCUGAGCCUGGUCAGUACCUAGAUGAGUGACUACUUGGGAAUACCAGGUGCUGUAAG
Acanthosepion pharaonis is the source of this 111-nucleotide non-coding RNA. Lineage: Eukaryota; Metazoa; Mollusca; Cephalopoda; Sepiida; Sepiidae. The record is from the annotation of a GenBank genome assembly.